This is a non-coding RNA of Dermatophagoides farinae (American house dust mite), 192 nucleotides long. NCBI's taxonomy places the organism in Eukaryota, Metazoa, Arthropoda, Arachnida, Sarcoptiformes, Pyroglyphidae. The record is from RefSeq and is a predicted model, not a curated record.
AGAAAAUAUCAUACACACACACACAUUUGGAAGGAAUUCUGGUUGUUGUUGGUUGGUUGGUUGGUUGGUUGGUCAUCUCGAGGUCAUCUCGCUGCCGUUUUUUUUUCUCUAGCUCUAUGGAUAAAAUAAUCGUUUUGGACAAAAGAUGUUUUUUUCUUUUUGUUGAUUGACUAAGAAUUGGGAACAUUUGUU